UAUAUUUUAAUAAUUAUUUUAUAAUUUUUUUUAAUAAUUAUAUUUUUUUUAUAAAAGUAAUUUUUGUGUUUUUGUAUUGUUUUAUGAUUUGAUUAUUUUUAUAUUAUAGUUUAUUAGUACUGUAAAGGAAUAAAUAUUUUAUUUUUAUAGUUUAUUUUAUUUAUUGUACCUUGUGUAUCAGGAUAUGUUUAAAUUAUAUAUAUAUUUAUUGUUCUCGAUUUUAUAAGAGUUAAUUACUUAAUUUAAUUUAUUGUUUUAUAAUUAUUUAAAAUGGGUAAUUGGUAGUGAUAUGUUAAUCGUUUAUUAAUGGUAUCUAGUUGUUCAAGAAAUGAAUUUAAUUCAUAUAUUAUAUUUAUAGUUUUUAAUUAAUUUAUUUUAGUUAAUAUAAAUGUUGAAGGGGGUCAGCUCUUUAAUAAAUUUCUAUAAUGUUUUUGGUAUUUAAAUGUUAUGGAAUUAAUAUUAUUUAUUAAUUUGAAUAUAUAAUAAUUAUAUUUAUUGUGAUUAUGUUUUUUUUUUAUUUAGAUUAUUUAUUGAAUUAAUUUAUUUAAUUAUAAAUUAUUUAUUAUGAUGGUUUAAUUAGUAUAUAUUAUUAAUUUAUUUUAUAGGUUUUAAUUUUGUUUAAUUUAUAUUAAAAAUAAUUUGGCAAUAAAAUAUAUUCGAUUGUUUAUCAAAAACAUUGCUUUUUGUUUUAAUUGUAUGGAAAGUAUGACCUGCCCAAUGAUUUAUUAAUUUAAUGGCCGCGGUAUUUUAACUGUGCAAAGGUAGCAUAAUCAUUAGUUUUUUAAUUGAGGACUGGAAUGAAUGGUUAAACGAGAUAUAAACUGUUUCAUUUAUAUAUAUAAUUGAAUUUAAUUAUUGAGUUAAAAGGCUUAAAUUUUGUUAUGGGACGAGAAGACCCUAUAGAAUUUUACAUAGAUAUUAUUUAUUUUAGUUGAUUAUACAGUUUAGUACUAAAUUUUUUUUUGUUUUGUUGGGGUGAUAGAAAGAUAAAUUUAACUCUUUUUAAUAUAUAAUAUUUAUUUAUAGUUUAAGUGAUCCAUUAUUAUUGAUUAUAAGAUUAAAUUACCUUAGGGAUAACAGCGUUAUUUUUUUUGAGAGUUCUUAUUGACAAUAAAGAUUGCGACCUCGAUGUUGGAUUAAGAUUAAUUUUGGGUGCAGAAUUUCAUUAUAUUAAGUCUGUUCGACUUUUAAAAUCUUACAUGAUCUGAGUUCAAACCGGUGUAAGCCAGGUUGGUUUCUAUCUAUAAUUAUUUUAUAAAUAUUUUAGUACGAGAGGACCAGAUAUUUAAAAUAAUUUUUAUAUAUUUUAUU
RNAcentral lists this ribosomal RNA (1311 nucleotides) under Allacta hainanensis. RNAcentral describes it as "16S ribosomal RNA". The stretch from base 1073 to 1232 matches the Rfam family "Archaeal large subunit ribosomal RNA", at positions 2542 to 2701 of the family's 2987-position model. Lineage: Eukaryota; Metazoa; Arthropoda; Insecta; Blattodea; Pseudophyllodromiidae. The record is from RNAcentral.